ACUUAAGGAGCUCAGAGCCAAGGCACAGCAGAAAGGGAGCUUUGGAGGUUCUGGGCUGAAGAAAAGUGGGAAGAAAUGAAGAUUUCAAACCCAGAUAGACAUGGUUUCCUUUAGUGUAUUCUGAACUAUAUUAUGAUGAUAUCUCGUGUUUAGUGUGAUGGUCGCUGAUGUCCUAUGCUUGAUGUGUUGGUCUUCAUCUUGAGCCAGAAUUACGUAAAACUUUAUAAAUUGUGUGCAUCUGUCCUCUAUCCAUGUGCCAACAAUGUAUUUGCUGGCAUUGUUGGAAACUUUGUUCUAUGUAACUCGUUUGCAAUUUGUUGAUUGCGCUUAGUAAUAAUGGUCUCCUGGGUAAUUGAUUUCCUGAGGAUGUGUUUCCCUUUUAAAUUGCAUUAAUGUGAAAAUUGCCCUCGCUG
Molecule: long non-coding RNA, 413 nt
Filed under: Populus trichocarpa (black cottonwood)
Lineage: Eukaryota; Viridiplantae; Streptophyta; Magnoliopsida; Malpighiales; Salicaceae
Description: long non-coding RNA (PTRI_LNC000178)
Source: RNAcentral